RNAcentral lists this long non-coding RNA (1259 nucleotides) under Malus domestica (apple). RNAcentral's name for it is "long non-coding RNA (MDOM_LNC010888)". Lineage: Eukaryota; Viridiplantae; Streptophyta; Magnoliopsida; Rosales; Rosaceae. The record is from RNAcentral.
CUCAUAGAGGAUCCAAUUCCACUUACAAUAUCGUUUUCUGGACUGUGCAAGAAAGACAAUAAAGAACAUAUUAUUCAAAUCUUUUUUUUUUUUUUUUGGUCGAAAAGGAACAUUCAUUAAUUAAGUAGAAAAUGUUACACCUUUCCCAACGGAAGGCAAAAGUAACCCAAAGUAAAUUGGGGGAAUCAAGUACAUAAAGCCAGCCCAACAAGCAAACUAGCAAAAAUUAAAACCCUAAUCUAUAAUUGCCAAACCGAGAUUUAGUCGCCAGAUUUGAACCACCAUGAAAAAUCCCUGCAAAUAUAUACAAUGUUUUUAUCACAAAUGGUCCUUGAAAUUGACUCUCACCAUCAAGGUGGUCAUUGAAAUUGAAAAUCAAUCAAUGUAGUCCUUAAAAAUAGGUGUUCCAAAUCAAUGUGGUCAUUCCGUCACAAUUAUGUUCAAAAUUCCGUUAAGUGCUAAUGUGGCACGUAAAUGGAUCCCACAUGAUUUACGGGUUUUAAUCACAAAUUGACCCACACCAUCAAGAUGAUCCCUAAAAUUGAAAAUCGAUGAACACAGUCCUUGAAAAUAGGUGUCGCAAAUCAAUAUGAUCCUUUUACCACAAUUAUGUAAAAGGUUUUGUUACGUGCUAAUGUGGGUUUAAUAAUUAAUUAAAAAAAGUUGUUUAAAUACCUUUUUGCACAAUUAAUUUUUUUUUCUCAUAGUAGGGCCUGCUCUGAAUAGAACUCUUCCAUAAAUUCUGAAAUGCACAAGGCUUAACCAAGGCCUUAGAGGGGGUUUGGAAAUAGUUUUCAACCAACAAUAGACGCACCUCAAUUAUAACCUCAUUAUCUCAAGGCAGACUUAACCGUUCUUUGAGUCACCAGACCACCAGGAAAGUGUCGAACAAGCUCUCCAAGAUAAGGUUGUGAUGAUGUUGAUCACCUAAAUGUUAACGGUGAUGUCCCAUAAGUUGUUGUCAAUCGACCACGUCAUCACCAAACGUGAUCUUGAUCCAUGUUCAAUUCGGUGAAGUGUGUCAAAGUGUGUAAAGAUAGGUGUAUUGAGUUUUUUUUUAGAGAAUAGAUAGCAAAUGAGGUAGAUGAAUGUGGACUGGGAUCGGAGGUGACUGCAAGACUGAGUUUUUGGGUUGACAACUUUUUAUUAACAAUUAAAUUAUUAAACUGUUUGUAAUUUUUUAAUUUAAUUAGACUUGGGUAACCCAUUUAUGUGUCACAUCAGCACAUAAUAGAAUUUUUGAUAGAAUUGUGACAGAA